UGCAAGAGCAGAAAUGUCCCAUGGAUUCCAGAAAUCCUGACUGCCGACAGAGAAUACAUACACUUCAGAAAAUUAAUACUUUGGGACUACCCUGGCAUCUGGACCUUCACCUGCCUUCUGACCUAGACUUCCUACAAAGGUCCAGUGAAACUCUGCAGUAGCUCAGCGGGCACCAUCUCCACUUUCGAUAAAGCACGUUACAGUCUUGCGGACAAAAUGAUACAUUAAGACCACACCAUUCUGGUUGUUGCUCAGCACGUUACUGCUCUUCAGCUACUCGAUAGAAAGCAUUUCUGCAGAGACUUGCAACGCCUCUAGAUGCCAAGAAGCAUAAAACAGAUAUGUUACCAGCAAAAGUGAGUGACAAAAAGGAGCAGGUGGUUACACUGAAAUGGCCAACAUCGAUACUGAGGAAGAAAUCCAAAUUGACAAGAUAUGAAGAAUGUGUUGCUCACAGAACAAGAUCAGAAAGACGGGUCCGCUUUCGAGAAUCAGAUGAGAUAAUUUUUCACACAGCGACCGAAUAUGGCUCCCCAUUGCCGACGAUGUUUUGGAAAUUAUUGUUUGUCAUUUCGCUGAGUCUGGUGAUCAUAUUGCUCCAUUAUAACGAGAGAGCGUCAAACAUGUGUGAACAACUUCAUUCAAAACUCAUCAGUUAUUACCUGGAAAUGAAGCACAAAACUUUCAACUGGUUGAAUCGGAGUAGAUGACAUUAGGACAUCCACAGAUGCCAGCAGCUUCAGACAAUCUCAAUUUAGCAAAAAACACUCAAGCAAAUGUGAAAACCUUUUGCCUUAAACUUUAUUAAAUGGAAAGUCGUUGAAGAAAUGAACUGAAAGAGGAAAGAGCUGUGAGAGUUUACCUAUCAACUGAAAUUUAUAGAACUAUUGUCAUAAUAUUUUGUUAUCAAUCAUUUUAUAACUCAAAUGAUGAAUUAUUUCACACUGAUGUUUCUAUAUAAUGCAACUCGCAUGAAAGAAUCAACUCAAAGUCUAGCAUGCCAUGAGAUAAAUACAAAAUGCUGAAGUAACUCAGCGGGUCAGGCAGCAUCUCUGGAGAAAACGAGUGGGUGACGUUUCAA
This is a long non-coding RNA of Amblyraja radiata (thorny skate), 1081 nucleotides long. RefSeq lists it as uncharacterized. NCBI's taxonomy places the organism in Eukaryota, Metazoa, Chordata, Chondrichthyes, Rajiformes, Rajidae. The transcript has 5 exons. The record is from RefSeq and is a predicted model, not a curated record.